GAUGAACGCUGGCGGCGUGCCUAAUACAUGCAAGUCGAGCGAACGGACGCGAAUCUUGCUUCUCUGAUGUUAGCGGCGGACGGGAGAGUAACACGUGUAUACCCUACCUAUCAUACUGGUAUCACUUCGGGAAUCCGGAGCUAAUACCGGAUGAUAUUUUGAACCGCAUUGUUCAAAAGUGAAAGACGGUCUUGCUGUCACUUCUCGCUGGAUCUCCGCUGCUUUAGCUGGUUGGUAAGGUACCGGCUUACCAAGGCUACUAUGCGUAGACGACCGCAGAGACGGGUAGCCCACCCGGGAGGGGAGACACGGACCAGACGCCUGCGGGAGGGAGCAGUAGGGAAUCUGCCGCAAUGGGCGAGAGCCUGACGGAGCAGCGCCGCGUGAGAGAUGAAGGUCUUCGGAGCGUAAAACUCUGUUAUUAGGGAAGAACAGAUGUGUAAGUAACUGUGCACAUCUUGACGGUACCUAGUCAGAAAGCCACGGCUAACUACGUG
This 497-nucleotide ribosomal RNA is filed under the name uncultured bacterium. Its description in RNAcentral is "partial 16S ribosomal RNA". It matches the Rfam family "Bacterial small subunit ribosomal RNA", at positions 28 to 507 of the family's 1533-position model. The record is from RNAcentral.